Molecule: ribosomal RNA, 253 nt
Filed under: uncultured bacterium
Lineage: Bacteria
Description: partial 16S ribosomal RNA
Rfam family: Bacterial small subunit ribosomal RNA
Source: RNAcentral
UACGUAGGGUGCAAGCGUUGUCCGGAAUUAUUGGGCGUAAAGAGCUCGUAGGCGGUCUGUCGCGUCGAAUGUGAAAACCCGGGGCUCAACCCCGGGCCUGCAUUCGAUACGGGCAGACUAGAGUUCGGUAGGGGAGUCUGGAAUUCCUGGUGUAGCGGUGAAAUGCGCAGAUAUCAGGAGGAACACCGGUGGCGAAGGCGGGACUCUGGGCCGAUACUGACGCUGAGGAGCGAAAGCGUGGGGAGCAAACAGG